UAUAUCUUCUGCAAAGCAGAAAUUCAUUCUAGGCAGCAUCAGAAUCAAAACUUCGAAAGACAAGUUGUUGCUAACAAAGGUGCAUUAGGCAAAGAAAAUGCUCCGGAAAGGCCGCCUUUUGGACCUGCUGUUUACGACCUUCAUUACAGCACAUUACAUGCUGUACAUUGCUCAUUGCGAAGUUAAAAUACAACACUGCGAAGUUAAGAAUGGUUCUUGUGUCUAUGGUGGGAAUAAGACGGUAAAAGAUGGGUAUGAUAUCCUAUCGAAACCACCAAAUUGCACCCAAUGGGUAUGCAAUGUAUCAGCGGAAGCAUUUGUGAUUACCGGAUCGAGAAGUGAACACCGAAUGCCGACAUCAGUAUAAGCCGUGUGCUGAUUUCUCUAGAGAUAUGCGCUCAAGCAGGCAAGCACACCCGGCUGCGCAUUGUUUUUAGUCAUGCAGCUGCCCCACCACAUUCGCCCCCAUAGUUUUUUCGUUUAAGGAAAUAUGGCUGUCACGUAUAGGCCUCCCAACCUUGGCCAGGGGGCGCUGCACCGCUCGCGUUUCGCGCGUUUCGACUGGCAUGGUGGAGGGACGUAUUUUUUGAGCGCUCCUGAUCGACUGCGCAAAUAAGUUGUUUUGCAUGCUUUGAGCUUGCCUUUUUAAUUAAUAAGGCAGUAGUUAAAACCUUUGUAGUACUCAUUACAUUGUACGGCUUUUUCGGGGGUCAGUCACCAGGUAUUCACUGGUUUGUGUCUGCGUGUGUUUGUUUCUGUUUUUUUCUCUUGCCACCACAUGGGGGAGGUGCAUGCACAUUAAACAUACAAACUUUUGUUGUAGA
Rhipicephalus microplus (southern cattle tick) is the source of this 824-nucleotide long non-coding RNA. The record is from RefSeq and is a predicted model, not a curated record. NCBI's taxonomy places the organism in Eukaryota, Metazoa, Arthropoda, Arachnida, Ixodida, Ixodidae.